Molecule: non-coding RNA, 1312 nt
Organism: Punica granatum (pomegranate)
Lineage: Eukaryota; Viridiplantae; Streptophyta; Magnoliopsida; Myrtales; Lythraceae
Source: RefSeq, a predicted model, not a curated record
UCGUGUUAUCUCCAAUGCUCGUAGCCCAAGCAAUCUUAUGCUUGAGCCUUUGAUUAAACCAGGUACCCCGGCGACCCGUGUAAUUGAGUUUGGCAACCCAUGAUUCCCUCCUCGGGCUUAAAAGUACUGACUGUAGACUUCACUUCAAUCCUAAACACAAGUUCCAAGCACCCACCUGAUAUGGCCUUGCUACAUGUGGUCGAGGCUUCAUCUUCCAAGCCCCAUAUCACUCUCUCUCUUGUCAGUACUUGUGAUUUUGAGGAAAAGUAUUCCGAGACACAACUCAGUGGGAAUGAGAUACGCGUCUAUAUUGACCAAAUAAAUAUAGCCACGGUGGUUUCGCAAUAUCGGCACUGCAGGUUAUGAGUUUGAGGGGUCACCGAUCCUUCUGGAGCCGCCAUUGGACUAAGUUGAUUGGAUAAGCCUACCGCCAACAGUGAGCGCAAUAGAGAUCUACACGUCUACUGAUGCAUCACUGAACUAAGAACCUCCCAAGAUGACUGUGAGUGCAUGGUUGUGCUCUUUUUUCUCAAAAAUGUAGAGAUGAUGCCAAGCAAGAUAGGUAGGAUAUGAUCCUAUUGAAUCAUGUUCGGUUCAAAUUUGCUGGUGCUCUAUCUUAUCUGCUGGUAGUCCUCGUUAUUCUUUAGUCUGGUUUAUUUGAAUAUGCCAAAUCAUAGACGGCUUCCAGCAACUGCAAGGAUGGAGAGGCGAACCAUGUUUUCCUUCAGACACGCAUUGGCAGUGGGUCUCUUGUGAUGGCUGGUCGAGGGUGAUAUCAAUGUACGGGCAUGUGAAUUUGACUCUGAAUUAAUCAGACAUCUAUAUUUGAUUUCCUUCCAGUGAUAUUAACUCAAGCUUGCUGGUCUUUUGCUGUAACCUCUUGAGUUAUGGUCUGUCUGGUCGUCUCCCCGACUUCAGCUAAGUGCAGGCCCUUGAAACAAUAGAUCUGGAAAACAAGCAACCUUUUCGGACCAAUCCUGAAUUUUUGGGACUACUACCUAAUCUGAAGUCACUUUGACAGUAUCCUUGCAAAUAACAACUUCACCGGCACCAUACCGAAGAGCAUAAUCAGCAGGAAGCAGCUAGUACUUGUGUAAGUGUUGAUGGGAAAACGUGCAUCGGCGAGGAACAUUCCCCUUGGAUGAGUGGCAUUGCAAUUGCAAUAUUUGUGGCUUUGCUGUCUGUUGCAUUUGCCGCUUACAUGCCAUGGAAAAAAAAAAGACUGAAAAAAAUAUACACGGAAUGGGUGAUAUAUAGUUGUUUCUGCUUCAUUUAAUUCGAUUCUACAGGAUAAAAUCUAUGCUAUGCCAUA